Molecule: long non-coding RNA, 1650 nt
Organism: Apteryx owenii (little spotted kiwi)
Lineage: Eukaryota; Metazoa; Chordata; Aves; Apterygiformes; Apterygidae
Source: Ensembl
CCUCACCCGGGGGAGGGGGGCUGCGGAGCUGACGAGCACACGGCGGGGCACGGGGACCCCGUGUCCGUCCGGCCCGGGGCCGCGCGGGCUGUGCCGCUUCGUGAGCCCCCCUCCGUCCGCCCGCGGAGCUGCUGGGGCCAACGCGGAGCCGACGAGCGCCCCCUCCCCCAACAUCCCCCCCCGCGGCCGCCACAUGGUCUCGCCGGGGGGAGAGCUUUUGUCCCCCGCGCACCGCCGUAGGCGGGCGUUUUCCCGCCGCCGUUGUCAUGGCGCUGGAGGUGCUGCGGCCGCGCGGCGUGCGCCUGGCGCUGCUGGCGGCCUUCGCGGCGGGCGUGCUGGUGGGCUGGCAGGCCGGGCGCGCCCGCCGCCGCUUCCUCCAGUGGCGCAAGCGGCGGCUCCAGCAGCGCCUGGCCGCCGCGCAGGAGCAGCUCGAGCUGGCCUGAGCGCGCCUUGUGUUGAUGGGAGUGGACAGUGAAUGAACAUAAUGGAUUCCUCUUGCAUCUCUAUCUAAAUGGAUUUAAAAAGAACUCUUUUAAAAAUCGUGUUACAGUGCUGUUGGAAAAGGAAAGCAUCUUGUAGAAUGACAGGACCUAUCUUUUACAAACUGUUGUCAGAAAAAAGAUCUUCACCUACAUCAGACUAACCCAUCUAGCAAAAUGUUGAGAGACAAGUUAAUUUUGAACAACACCAAAUAUUUUUCCUUAUUUGGAAGGACUAUCUCUACUUAAUCUUGCUUUGUCAUCCCUAAGACUGAGGUAUAUUGCUCUGCUCUUGCCAAGAAGUACUGCUGGUACAUUAAACUAGUAAAAAGCUUAUGUGGUGUAUCCUAGGUAUGUUUAUUAUUCUGAUAAGUGAAAGUAUAGCCUAAGGAUAUUCAUAAUGAGGGAUAAAUCUCAUUAUGAAAAUACAUAAAUGAAAAAAGCCCAUGGGAACAAUUAAGUGAUGAUACACCAGCAUGCAAUGGUAGGAUGAACUAGUAUAUUAAAUUAAUGAUGGUUGUGCUUUGGACAUUGAAUUUCAGGGAACAUAAGGUACUGGAUUAUAUAUCCUAUCAUGUAGUCAUUGCAAAGACUACACUGGUUCUUUAGGCUUACUAUUUUAUAUCACAGCCACUUCCAGCAAAUGGACAUCAUGACCUAAAAUUCUUAAUGGUUUUCCCUUGGACUUGUGCCUCAUACUGCAGAUAGCAGUAGUUUGUUCCUUUUGCGCUUCCAAGAGUAUUUCCUUGAGUCAGAGAGAAGGUGGUGCUCCUGGUUUGUGUCAGAGUAUUUAUUGCAAGCUAUGCAGAUUGCUGAUCUUAAAGUUCAUAAUCUAAGUUGAAUUAUACUUCUGCCUUUUCUCCAGGUUUGUGGAUUUGCUUUUUUUGUUUAGUUGGUUGCUUUUUUUUAGCUUUGGUGUGUUUGCAUAGGGGAAGUCUAACUCUUGUGGCUUGGGCACACCUAUUUCUGAUGUGGUGUAAUGUACUGCGCUUGCCUUAAGAGAGAAUUUUGAGGAUUUAAUUUAACAACUCCCAUUGGCAUACUAGUACCCCCCCCCAAAAAAUUUUUUUGAAAAAAAAAAAAACAAAAAACCAAACAACCCUGUUCUGUGCCCUUUAAUGUCACGAAAUGUUGAUUUGUAACUGAAUAAAGUAGUCUGUGGAUAGAAACA